This 499-nucleotide ribosomal RNA is filed under the name uncultured bacterium. RNAcentral's name for it is "bacterial SSU rRNA". It matches the Rfam family "Bacterial small subunit ribosomal RNA", at positions 32 to 518 of the family's 1533-position model. The record is from RNAcentral.
AACGCUAGCUACAGGCUUAACACAUGCAAGUCGAGGGGCAGUCACGGGCAGAGCUUGCUUGCCUGGUGGCGACCGGCGCACGGGUGAGUAACGCGUAUCCAACCUGCCCGCAACCGCGGAAUAGCCCGCCGAAAGGCGGAUUAAUGCCGCAUGCCGUCGGGAGAGGGCAUCUGGCCCCGACGAAAGGUUUUUCCGGUUGCGGAUGGGGAUGCGUCCGAUUAGGCGGCAGGCGGGGCAACGGCCCACCUGGCCUACGAUCGGUAGGGGUUCUGAGAGGAAGGUCCCCCACAUUGGAACUGAGACACGGUCCAAACUCCUACGGGAGGCAGCAGUGAGGAAUAUUGGUCAAUGGGCGGAAGCCUGAACCAAGCCAAGUAGCGUGGGGGAUGACGGCCCUACGGGUUGUAAACCCCUUUUUCGCGGGGAUAACCGGGCGCACUUGUGCGUCCCUGCAGGUACCGCGUGAAUAAGGACCGGCUAAUUCCGUGCCAGCAGCGGC